CCCGCUGAACUUAAGCAUAUCAAUAAGCGGAGGAAAAGAAACUAACAAGGAUUCCCCUAGUAACUGCGAGUGAAGCGGGAAAAGCUCAAAUUUAAAAUCUGGCGGUUUCACCGUCCGAGUUGUAAUUUAGAGAAGUGUUAUCCGCGCUGGACCGUGUACAAGUCUCCUGGAAUGGAGCGUCAUAGAGGGUGAGAAUCCCGUCUUUGACACGGACUACCAGGGCAUUGUGAUACGCUCUCAAAGAGUCGAGUUGUUUGGGAUUGCAGCUCAAAAUGGGUGGUAAAUUCCAUCUAAAGCUAAAUAUUGGGGAGAGACCGAUAGCGAACAAGUACCGUGAGGGAAAGAUGAAAAGAACUUUGGAAAGAGAGUUAAACAGUACGUGAAAUUGCUGAAAGGGAAACGCUUGAAGUCAGUCGCGUCGUUCAGGAUUCAGCUUUAGCAUCUGCUUUGUGCAUUUCCUGUUUGACGGGUCAGCAUCAGUUUUGGCCGGUGGAUAAAGGUUGAGGGAACGUGACAUCUUUCGAGGUGUGUUAUAGCCCUCGAUUCGCAUACGGCGAUUGGGAUUGAGGAACUCAGCGCGCCUUUAUGGUCGGGGUAGCAACCCACGUAACGCGCUCAGGAUGCUGGCAUAAUGGCUUUAAGCGACCCGUCUUGAAACAC
RNAcentral lists this ribosomal RNA (660 nucleotides) under uncultured fungus. RNAcentral describes it as "eukaryotic LSU rRNA". It matches the Rfam family "Eukaryotic large subunit ribosomal RNA", at positions 24 to 662 of the family's 3401-position model. Lineage: Eukaryota; Fungi. The record is from RNAcentral.